RNAcentral lists this long non-coding RNA (298 nucleotides) under Ananas comosus (pineapple). RNAcentral describes it as "long non-coding RNA (ACOM_LNC029970)". The record is from RNAcentral. Lineage: Eukaryota; Viridiplantae; Streptophyta; Magnoliopsida; Poales; Bromeliaceae.
GGACAGUGGAUGAGAAUGGGUUUGAUAAGGAACUUUGGGUACAUUGGCUGAUAGGGUAAAAGUUGUAGUUUUUGGAAAGAAAGAUUUGGUUGUAUAAUGCUGUUUCCUUCUUUACGCUAAGCAACGGUAGAGCUUUGCAGUACCAUAGGAGGAACUAAUCUCGGAAUUAGUGAAAGUGUACUAUAUUAGGGUAUAUGUAAUUUGGUUUGUUGCCUGUAGUGGAUUGUUGGAAUCAUAAGAUUGGGGAACAUAACAAGGAAUGGGAGAAAGAGAAAAGCAAAGUACAUGAAUAAUGAGG